GUUUGAUCCUGGCUCAGGACGAACGCUGGCGGCGUGCCUAAUACAUGCAAGUCGAACGAACUCUGGUAUUGAUUGGUGCUUGCAUCAUGAUUUACAUUUGAGUGAGUGGCGAACUGGUGAGUAACACGUGGGAAACCUGCCCAGAAGCGGGGGAUAACACCUGGAAACAGAUGCUAAUACCGCAUAACAACUUGGACCGCAUGGUCCGAGCUUGAAAGAUGGCUUCGGCUAUCACUUUUGGAUGGUCCCGCGGCGUAUUAGCUAGAUGGUGGGGUAACGGCUCACCAUGGCAAUGAUACGUAGCCGACCUGAGAGGGUAAUCGGCCACAUUGGGACUGAGACACGGCCCAAACUCCUACGGGAGGCAGCAGUAGGGAAUCUUCCACAAUGGACGAAAGUCUGAUGGAGCAACGCCGCGUGAGUGAAGAAGGGUUUCGGCUCGUAAAACUCUGUUGUUAAAGAAGAACAUAUCUGAGAGUAACUGUCCAGGUAUUGACGGUAUUUAACCAGAAAGCCACGGCUAACUACGUGCCAGCAGCCGCGGUAAUACGUAGGUGGCAAGCGUUGUCCGGAUUUAUUGGGCGUAAAGCGAGCGCAGGCGGUUUUUUAAGUCUGAUGUGAAAGCCUUCGGCUUAACCGAAGAAGUGCAUCGGAAACUGGGAAACUUGAGUGCAGAAGAGGACAGUGGAACUCCAUGUGUAGCGGUGAAAUGCGUAGAUAUAUGGAAGAACACCAGUGGCGAAGGCGGCUGUCUGGUCUGUAACUGACGCUGAGGCUCGAAAGUAUGGGUAGCAAACAGGAUUAGAUACCCUGGUAGUCCAUACCGUAAACGAUGAAUGCUAAGUGUUGGAGGGUUUCCGCCCUUCAGUGCUGCAGCUAACGCAUUAAGCAUUCCGCCUGGGGAGUACGGCCGCAAGGCUGAAACUCAAAGGAAUUGACGGGGGCCCGCACAAGCGGUGGAGCAUGUGGUUUAAUUCGAAGCUACGCGAAGAACCUUACCAGGUCUUGACAUACUAUGCAAAUCUAAGAGAUUAGACGUUCCCUUCGGGGACAUGGAUACAGGUGGUGCAUGGUUGUCGUCAGCUCGUGUCGUGAGAUGUUGGGUUAAGUCCCGCAACGAGCGCAACCCUUAUUAUCAGUUGCCAGCAUUAAGUUGGGCACUCUUGUGAGACUGCCGGUGACAAACCGGAGGAAGGUGGGGAUGACGUCAAAUCAUCAUGCCCCUUAUGACCUGGGCUACACACGUGCUACAAUGGAUGGUACAACGAGUUGCGAACUCGCGAGAGUAAGCUAAUCUCUUAAAGCCAUUCUCAGUUCGGAUUGUAGGCUGCAACUCGCCUACAUGAAGUCGGAAUCGCUAGUAAUCGCGGAUCAGCAUGCCGCGGUGAAUACGUUCCCGGGCCUUGUACACACCGCCCGUCACACCAUGAGAGUUUGUAACACCCAAAGUCGGUGGGGUAACCUUUUAGGAACCAGCCGCCUAAGGUGGGACAGAUGAUUAGGGUG
This 1506-nucleotide ribosomal RNA is filed under the name Lactiplantibacillus plantarum. RNAcentral's name for it is "partial 16S ribosomal RNA". It matches the Rfam family "Bacterial small subunit ribosomal RNA". Lineage: Bacteria; Bacillati; Bacillota; Bacilli; Lactobacillales; Lactobacillaceae. The record is from RNAcentral.